RNAcentral lists this ribosomal RNA (997 nucleotides) under uncultured Basidiomycota. RNAcentral's name for it is "eukaryotic LSU rRNA". The stretch from base 316 to 997 matches the Rfam family "Eukaryotic large subunit ribosomal RNA", at positions 1 to 664 of the family's 3401-position model. The record is from RNAcentral. Lineage: Eukaryota; Fungi; Basidiomycota.
AUCGAUGAAGAACGCAGCGAAAUGCGAUAAGUAAUGUGAAUUGCAGAAUUCAGUGAAUCAUCGAAUCUUUGAACGCACCUUGCGCUCCUUGGUAUUCCGAGGAGCAUGCCUGUUUGAGUGUCAUUAAUAUAUAUCAACCCUUCUCUUGUUGAAUGGUUUGGAUGUGGGGGGUUUGCUGGUCUCUUAUAUAGGGUUCAGCUCCCCUGAAAUGCAUUAGCAGAAUAACCUGUUCAUUGGUGUGAUAACUAUCUACGCUUUUGAAUGUAAAGGGACAGUUCAGCUUUCUAACCGUCUUUGGACAAUCUAUCAUUUAUGUGACCUCAAAUCAGGUAGGACUACCCGCUGAACUUAAGCAUAUCAAUAAGCGGAGGAAAAGAAACUAACAAGGAUUCCCCUAGUAACUGCGAGUGAAGCGGGAAAAGCUCAAAUUUAAAAUCUGGCGGUCUUUUGGUCGUCCGAGUUGUAAUCUAGAGAAGUGUUAUCCGCGCUGGACCGUGUACAAGUCUCCUGGAAUGGAGCAUCAUAGAGGGUGAGAAUCCCGUCUUUGACAUGGACUGCCAGGGCUUUGUGAUGCGCUCUCAAAGAGUCGAGUUGUUUGGGAAUGCAGCUCAAAAUGGGUGGUAAAUUCCAUCUAAAGCUAAAUAUUGGCGAGAGACCGAUAGCGAACAAGUACCGUGAGGGAAAGAUGAAAAGAACUUUGGAAAGAGAGUUAAACAGUACGUGAAAUUGCUGAAAGGGAAACGCUUGAAGUCAGUCGCGUUGGCCAGGGAUCAACCUUGCUUUUGCUUGGUGCACUUUCUGGUUUGACGGGCCAGCAUCAAUUUUGACUAUUGGAUAAAGGUUAAGGGAAUGUGGCAUCUUCGGAUGUGUUAUAGCUCUUGGUCACAUACAAUGGUUGGGAUUGAGGAACUCAGCACGCCGCAAGGCCGGGUUUUUAACCACGUACGUGCUUAGGAUGCUGGCAAUAUGGCUUUAAUCGACCCGUCUUGAAACACGG